This 916-nucleotide ribosomal RNA is filed under the name uncultured bacterium. RNAcentral's name for it is "bacterial SSU rRNA". It matches the Rfam family "Bacterial small subunit ribosomal RNA", at positions 246 to 1155 of the family's 1533-position model. The record is from RNAcentral.
UUGUUGGUAAGGUAAAAGCUUACCAAGGCUUCGAUCAGUAGCUGGUCUGAGAGGACGACCAGCCACACUGGGACUGAGACACGGCCCAGACUCCUACGGGAGGCAGCAGUGGGGAAUUUUGGACAAUGGGGGCAACCCUGAUCCAGCCAUGCCGCGUGAGUGAAGAAGGCCUUCGGGUUGUAAAGCUCUUUCAGCCGGAACGAAACGGUUACGGUUAACACCCGUGACUACUGACGGUACCGGAAGAAGAAGCACCGGCUAACUACGUGCCAGCAGCCGCGGUAAUACGUAGGGUGCGAGCGUUAAUCGGAAUUACUGGGCGUAAAGCGUGCGCAGGUGGUUUUGUAAGUCAGAUGUGAAAGCCCCGGGCUCAACCUGGGAACUGCGUUUGAAACUACAAGACUAGAGUGUGGCAGAGGGGGGUGGAAUUCCGCGUGUAGCAGUGAAAUGCGUAGAGAUGUGGAGGAACACCGAUGGCGAAGGCAGCCCCCUGGGUCAACACUGACGCUCAGGCACGAAAGCAUGGGGAGCAAACAGGAUUAGAUACCCUGGUAGUCCAUGCCCUAAACGAUGUCAACUAGUUGUCGGGCCUUUACGGGCUUGGUAACGUAGCUAACGCGUGAAGUUGACCGCCUGGGGAGUACGAUCGCAAGAUUAAAACUCAAAUGAAUUGACGGGGACCCGCACAAGCGGUGGAUUAUGUGGAUUAAUUCGAUGCAACGCGAAAAACCUUACCUACCCUUGACAUGUAUCGAAGCCCGCAGAAAAGCGGGGGUGCCCGAAAGGGAACGAUAACACAGGUGCUGCAUGUCUGUCGUCAGCUCGUGUCGUGAGAUGUUGGGUUAAGUCCCGCAACGAGCGCAACCCUUGUCAUUAAUUGCCAUCAUUUAGUUGGGCACUUUAAUGAGACUGCCGG